This 236-nucleotide ribosomal RNA is filed under the name uncultured bacterium. Its description in RNAcentral is "partial 16S ribosomal RNA". It matches the Rfam family "Bacterial small subunit ribosomal RNA", at positions 100 to 334 of the family's 1533-position model. The record is from RNAcentral.
CGGGACGGGUGAGUAACGCGUGGGUAACCUGCCUCACACUGGGGGAUAACAGUUAGAAAUAGCUGCUAAUACCGCAUAAGCGCACGGUUCCGCAUGGAACAGUGUGAAAAACUCCGGUGGUGUGAGAUGGACCCGCGUCUGAUUAGCCAGUUGGCGGGGUGACGGCCCACCAAAGCGACGAUCAGUAGCCGGCCUGAGAGGGUGAACGGCCACAUUGGGACUGAGACACGGCCCAA